GCAUAACGCGAAGAACCUUACCAGGCCUUGACAUCCCUGGAACCCCCGAGAGAUCGGGGGUGCCCUUCGGGGAACCAGGUGACAGGUGCUGCAUGGCUGUCGUCAGCUCGUGUCGUGAGAUGUUCGGUUAAGUCCGGCAACGAGCGCAACCCUCGCCAUUAGUUGCCAGCAGUUCGGCUGGGCACUCUAAUGGGACUGCCCGUGAAAGCGGGAGGAAGGCGGGGAUGAUGUCUAGUCAGCAUGGUCCUUACGGCCUGGGCGACACACGUGCUACAAUGGCCGGUACAGCGCGUCGCCACCUCGCGAGAGGGAGCUAAUCGCGAAAGCCGGUCCCAGUUCAGAUCGCAGUCUGCAACUCGACUGCGUGAAGUUGGAAUCGCUAGUAAUCGCGGAUCAGCCAUGCCGCGGUGAAUACGUUCCCGGGUCUUGUACACACCG
RNAcentral lists this ribosomal RNA (438 nucleotides) under uncultured bacterium. RNAcentral's name for it is "bacterial SSU rRNA". It matches the Rfam family "Bacterial small subunit ribosomal RNA", at positions 954 to 1392 of the family's 1533-position model. The record is from RNAcentral.